AACUAAUGCCAGUUUCUGGCGCAGCAGCAGCGGUGGUGGUGUCGACAAGAUUGAGGUCGAGAUCAUUAUCCGAGCAGGUGAAAACGCGACCGGGGGAGGUAGCGGCGGCAUGGCUAGCUCUUGGAGCUCUAUUUUUGGAGGUUAGUGGAUGAAGUGGAAGGAUGGACGGACUUGGACGCUACGGGGGGAUGGGAUGGUUGGAUUUUAGAAAAAGGUCACAGUGACUUUUUAUUUUUAUUUUUAUUUUUAUUUUUAUUAAUUAUUAUGUCAAUAGCUAUGUUUUAGACUUUUAGUGGCAGUCAGAGGUCUCAUCUUUGACUAACUUUAAUGGAAAUAAUUAAUUUUUUUUCGA
Ipomoea triloba (trilobed morning glory) is the source of this 352-nucleotide long non-coding RNA. RefSeq lists it as uncharacterized. The transcript has 2 exons. The record is from RefSeq and is a predicted model, not a curated record. Lineage: Eukaryota; Viridiplantae; Streptophyta; Magnoliopsida; Solanales; Convolvulaceae.